This 478-nucleotide ribosomal RNA is filed under the name uncultured bacterium. RNAcentral describes it as "bacterial SSU rRNA". It matches the Rfam family "Bacterial small subunit ribosomal RNA", at positions 28 to 517 of the family's 1533-position model. The record is from RNAcentral.
GAUGAACGCUAGCGGCAGGCUUAAUACAUGCAAGUCAAGGGGGUAGCAAUACAACCGGCGCACGGGUGAGUAACGCGUACACAACAUACCAUAUACUGGAGUAUAGCUUUGGGAAACUGAAGGUAAUCCUCCAUAACAUUGCGAGAGGGCAUCUGAUUGCAAUUAAAGUUUCGGCGGUAUAUGAUUGGUGUGCGUUUGAUUAGCUAGUUGGUAGGGUAACGGCCUACCAAGGCGACGAUCAAUAGCUGGCGUGAGAGCGCGACCAGCCACACUGGAACUGAGACACGGUCCAGACUCCUACGGGAGGCAGCAGUAGGGAAUAUUGGACAAUGGAGGAAACUCUGAUCCAGCCAUGCCGCGUGAUAGAUGAAGGCCCUCUGGGUUGUAAAUAUCUUUUAUCUGGGAAGAAACACUCCUAUUCUUAGGAACUUGACGGUACCAGAGGAAUAAGCACCGGCUAACUCCGUGCCAGCAGCCG